UACGGGAGGCAGCAGUAGGGAAUCUUCCGCAAUGGACGAAAGUCUGACGGAGCAACGCCGCGUGAGUGAAGAAGGUUUUCGGAUCGUAAAACUCUGUUGUUAAAGAAGAACAAGGAUGAGAGUAACUGCUCAUCCCCUGACGGUAUUUAACCAGAAAGCCACGGCUAACUACGUGCCAGCAGCCGCGGUAAU
Molecule: ribosomal RNA, 192 nt
Filed under: uncultured bacterium
Lineage: Bacteria
Also listed under: 1 other name
Description: partial 16S ribosomal RNA
Rfam family: Bacterial small subunit ribosomal RNA
Source: RNAcentral